RNAcentral lists this ribosomal RNA (463 nucleotides) under Vreelandella stevensii. RNAcentral's name for it is "partial 16S ribosomal RNA". It matches the Rfam family "Bacterial small subunit ribosomal RNA", at positions 339 to 795 of the family's 1533-position model. Lineage: Bacteria; Pseudomonadati; Pseudomonadota; Gammaproteobacteria; Oceanospirillales; Halomonadaceae. The record is from RNAcentral.
CUAGGGUGGCAGCAGUGGGGAAUAUUGGACAAUGGGCGAAAGCCUGAUCCAGCCAUGCCGCGUGUGUGAAGAAGGCCUUCGGGUUGUAAAGCACUUUCAGUGGGGAAGAAAGCCUUGGGGCUAAUACCCUCGAGGAAGGACAUCACCCACAGAAGAAGCACCGGCUAACUCCGUGCCAGCAGCCGCGGUAAUACGGAGGGUGCGAGCGUUAAUCGGAAUUACUGGGCGUAAAGCGCGCGUAGGCGGUCUGAUAAGCCGGUUGUGAAAGCCCCGGGCUCAACCUGGGAACGGCAUCCGGAACUGUCAAGCUAGAGUGCAGGAGAGGAAGGUAGAAUUCCCGGUGUAGCGGUGAAAUGCGUAGAGAUCGGGAGGAAUACCAGUGGCGAAGGCGGUCUUCUGGACUGACACUGACGCUGAGGUGCGAAAGCGUGGGUAGCAAACAGGAUUAGAUACCCGGGUAGUC